AGUUGCUCCGGGCCCUCCUGAGCCAGCGAGUGGGGCUUAGUUGGCCGCUGGCGUCGCGCGCCCUUGGGGACAGAGCGUCCAGCAGAGCGAGUCAGCCCGGGCUCCGGACUGGGCUGGAGUUUGGCCUCUGAUCGCUCUCUCUCUCUCUCUCUCUCUCUCUCUCUCUCUCUCUCUCUCUCUCUCUCUCUCUCUCUCUCUCAUCUGACACCUCCCCCCUUUAAAAAAUAUCAAGAUCUACGUUCCCUUUGCACUUUUACAUUGCACUUCAUUAUUUCGGAUUUGGUUACGGCCCGGAAGGGACGGGGGAAGGACGCUAAGAGGGUGCACUGGAAAAAAAAUCUGGGAAGCCUGCAAAAGGAUUGAAGAGUGGAAACUAUUGUUGGACCGAGUUGGUUUUUACCUCAACAGCGCCACCUUUCGGCAAAGGGCUUUUCCUUCCAUGAAAUACUGGUUGUGCACAAGAGAUGUGAGAAAGCCAGAUGUUUUCUGGGAAGGUGUGCCAGAUUUCACCCAGAUCUGUUUCCUUCCUUUAUCUGACAAAUCCCAGCACGUCCUAGCAGACAGGAGGCACUGAUUUAAUAAAUAGUUUGGGGGAUACAUGAACACUGGAAUUAAAGGGGCUCUGUGGUUUUAGCAGUAGAGAUGUGAAACCAUGGGGCCUGUUUUCCCAGAUUGCCACCUUUUUUCUAUUUCCCCUUUCCUUUUUCAGGGCAUAGCCAUCUGCUUCUGCUUAGAUUUUUCUUUCCCUUCAAUUAAGGACUGACUGUGACUUGCUCUUCCAUUCUCAUUGCUUUUGAUCCCAUUCGCAGCUUAUGCCAGUGAGGGAAUUUAUCUCCAAAGCAUUCGACCCUUCGAAGAUUUUACUGUCAUCGACUCAGAACUGCUCUUAAGAAAAGCAAAGGAAAUUAAAAAAAAAAAAAAAAAAAAAAGGAACCUGAUAUCGGGAGAAUCUUUUCACAGGCAGUGUCUUCUACGCCUAAUAACUCAGAGGACCCAGGCUGGGUGGUGGUGCUGGCCCAGAAGUUUUGUCCCCUCCCUUCCUGCUCCUGCUGAAGGGGACUCGGAGCUCUUCCUCCAGAAGGGUUGGGCAGCCAUUCAACCUGGGAAAGAAACGCAGUUCUAGAAAGCACAGAGCAAACUUUCUUCACAGAAAUUCUUCUGUAGUUAUGGGGAAAGGAUGCUGAAGCAGGUGUUUUCUGGACUUGUGAGUUUCUGGAUUUGUUUGGCCGAGGCCCAGGGAAAAGGGGUCUCUUCCAGCUGUUUCACAUCAUAGUUCUCCCUUGCCUCCUGGGUGUGGCUGAGCUCUCUCAGGCAUCCUUCUGUGCAUUGGAAACACCAGACACAUCCAGAAUGUCCUCACAGCAGCCCCAAUGCAGCAGAACAUUCCCGAUCUGGAUCUGAUGAAGGACAGGAAGUGGGGUCACCACCUCCACCCCACCCCAAAUAAAAGUCAAGGUCAGAUAUAGCCCUUCUGAUAAACUUUUGUAUUUUGUAAUGCUAUAACAGUGAUACAUGCUCUUUGUUGAAUAUGAGUGCUUAGACAAGACCGAAAUGGGAAGUUUUAUCAAAGAAGAAUGCUGCUCCUCAUUUUGACUUUUCAACCAGGUAUAGCAAACAGUGUCCAGGACCAUGGAAACAUUUUAAUUUCUUUUAAAAUCAGAAGGAGAGAAAGCAUGGGUUAUACCUUUCACCAUAUCUCCACAGUCAUAAUAUAUAUAUGUAUAUUAUGAGAAGGAGUCUGUGGAGGACAUGGUUCCCAGGACUCACAAAAGUCCACACAUGACCUUGACAGAUGAACUUGAUCCCCUCCAGUGACAAGGGGCUUACUACCUAUCUGUCCUCAUCUGGCUGCAGUUCUUGGACCAUCAGAAAUAUUUUGUGUAUUUGCUUUAGCAUGAAGUUUUCCCCCUUUCUUCUGUAUGUGCAUCCUGGUCUCAUAAGCUCACAAGACCAUGCAAUCACGAGGUCCUUAUGUUCCACAGGGCCCCUCGGAAGUCAAAAACAAUGAAUGGGACCCCCUUCCCUGCCUUUCUGUUGCAUUCUGCACACAGUGCCUUCAGCAUUUGCACAUAGGCGCUGGUUUCAGGAGCCCUGCCUCCUGGUUGCUGAUGCCCUGCAUGCUCACAGGGUUCUGCUGCCCUUGGAGGGUCCAAGUUCCAGAUCCAGACCCAGGUGUCCAGGUGUGGCCACUCAUUACACAGCCAGCGCCACACUCUGCCCCCUUGAGCUGCAGUCCAGCAGACACCUGCCGCUGGAGACUCACGGUGCCCACACCAGGGGCACAGACCCUGGCCUCUCCUUCUUAUGUUCUGCAUCCUGGAUUUGUACCCUUCUGGUUUUGAAUCCAAGCACAAAAAUGUCCAACAACAUCUUCCGCAGGCUCCAGCUCAUCGGGUUCAGCUUACGCCAUGUGAUCUAAAUCUCUGGGGUUCAGAAUGUGCUAUGGACUAUUGUUAAUUUGCUUCCUAGCUUUGUGGCAGCUGCAGAUGACAUUGAUGUGCCAUUCACAUGACUUAAUCUGUCUGAACCAGGUCCCUGCUUUGCAUGCUGGGAUACUGUCGGGAUCAGCGAUUGUUCUCCUACAGAACGGGGCCGCAGAGGAUCUCCUCUCCACUUUCCCUAUGAGCCCUGUGAAAUGUGGAUAGCAGCAUUAGAAGGGUCAAAACCCUGUGGCAUUCCAGCAGAGCCUGUCCCUCCCAGUGCCCCCACGAUCAACACAAAGUGACCAAGAGAUCAUUAAGUCCCCUAACAGACACUUGAAAUAGACACAGCCUAUUUGUCAAUUGGGGUAAUUUUAAACUCAGUUACCCCACCUGGAGUCCUCCAUAGAUCUUUCUGAUGAAUUCUGAAAGUAACCUCACUUCUUCACAGUGUAGGUGAGCUUGCCAUUGAGAAGGAUGGAUAACUAGAUAACUGUAUCACAUUUCACACCUGCCUUGGCCUUUGUAAACCUUUGCCCUGUCAAAAUACAUAGCAGUUGUCCACAGCUGGAACCUCAG
Heterocephalus glaber (naked mole-rat) is the source of this 2999-nucleotide long non-coding RNA. The record is from Ensembl. NCBI's taxonomy places the organism in Eukaryota, Metazoa, Chordata, Mammalia, Rodentia, Bathyergidae.